This 322-nucleotide ribosomal RNA is filed under the name uncultured eukaryote. RNAcentral describes it as "partial 18S ribosomal RNA". It matches the Rfam family "Eukaryotic small subunit ribosomal RNA", at positions 1470 to 1796 of the family's 1831-position model. The record is from RNAcentral.
CCCUUAGAUGUUCUGGGCCGCACGCGUGCUACACUGAGUGGAUCAGCGGGUCAGGUUGCGCGAAAGCGUUUCCUAAUCUUUAAAUCCGCUCGCGAUGGGGAUUGACGGUUGCAAUUUUCUGUCAUGAACGAGGAAUACCUUGUAAGCGCGGGUCAUCAUCCCGCGCUGAAUACGUCCCUGCCCUUUGUACACACCGCCCGUCGCUCCUACCGAUUGAGUGGUCCGGUGAGGCUUUGGGAUCUGAGCGGAAAGAGCGUUUCGCUGUUUCUGCUCGGAAAACUCAGUCGAACCUUAUCAUUUAGAGGAAGGAGAAGUCGUAACA